RNAcentral lists this small RNA (298 nucleotides) under Arabidopsis thaliana (thale cress). RNAcentral describes it as "ATSL081060". Lineage: Eukaryota; Viridiplantae; Streptophyta; Magnoliopsida; Brassicales; Brassicaceae. The record is from RNAcentral.
AAAGUUUUUUAAAGGGUUUAAAAGUGUUUUGCAAGAUUUACAAGAGAUUUUAAAAGGGUUUUAAGAGAUUUACAAGAGAUUUUUAAAGGGUUUAAAUGGAGUUUAAAGGAUGUACAAGGGUUUUUAAAAGAUUUUUGAAAAAGUUACAAGAAGAUCCUUUAAAAAAUCAUGUAAAUCUUUUUAAAACCUUUUAAAAUCCCUUGUAAAUCUUUUAAAAUCCUUUUAAAAUCUCUUGUAAAUGUUUAAAAACCCUUUUAAAAUCUCUUGUAAAUCUAUUUCCCGCCAAAAAAAAAUUACA